GGGACUAUGGCCCAAUGGACAAGGCGUCUGACUACGAAUCAGGAGAUUCCAGGUUCGACCCCUGGUAGUCUCA
Molecule: transfer RNA, 73 nt
Organism: Phycomyces blakesleeanus NRRL 1555(-)
Lineage: Eukaryota; Fungi; Mucoromycota; Mucoromycetes; Mucorales; Phycomycetaceae
Rfam family: tRNA
About the family: Transfer RNA (tRNA) molecules are approximately 80 nucleotides in length. Their secondary structure includes four short double-helical elements and three loops (D, anti-codon, and T loops).
Source: Rfam